Molecule: ribosomal RNA, 1392 nt
Filed under: Clonostachys rosea
Lineage: Eukaryota; Fungi; Ascomycota; Sordariomycetes; Hypocreales; Bionectriaceae
Description: eukaryotic LSU rRNA
Rfam family: Eukaryotic large subunit ribosomal RNA
Source: RNAcentral
GUACCCGCUGAACUUAAGCGGAGGAAAAGAACCAACAGGGAUUGCCCUAGUAACGGCGAGUGAAGCGGCAACAGCUCAAAUUUGAAAUCUGGCGCAAGCCCGAGUUGUAAUUUGUAGAGGAUGUUUCUGGCGACGUGCCUUCCGAGUUCCCUGGAACGGGACGCCAUAGAGGGUGAGAGCCCCGUACGGUUGGAUGCCUAGCCUCUGUGAAACUCCUUCGACGAGUCGAGUAGUUUGGGAAUGCUGCUCUAAAUGGGAGGUAUACGUCUUCUAAAGCUAAAUACCGGCCAGAGACCGAUAGCGCACAAGUAGAGUGAUCGAAAGAUGAAAAGCACUUUGAAAAGAGGGUUAAAAAGUACGUGAAAUUGUUGAAAGGGAAGCGUUCAUGACCAGACUUGGGCAGGUUGAUCAUCCGUGGUUCUCCGCGGUGCACUCUGCCUGCCCAGGCCAGCAUCAGUUCGCCCCGGGGGAUAAAGGUUUUGGGAAUGUGGCUCCCUCGGGAGUGUUAUAGCCCACUGCGUAAUACCCUGGGGUGGACUGAGGUUCGCGCUCUGCAAGGAUGCUGGCGUAAUGGUCAUCAACGACCCGUCUUGAAACACGGACCAAGGAGUCGUCUUCGUAUGCGAGUGUUCGGGUGUCAAACCCCUACGCGUAAUGAAAGUGAACGUAGGAGAGAGCUUCGGCGCAUCUCCGACCGAUCCUGAUGUUCUCGGAUGGAUUUGAGUAAGAGCAUACGGGGCCGGACCCGAAAGAAGGUGAACUAUGCCUGUAUAGGGUGAAGCCAGAGGAAACUCUGGUGGAGGCUCGCAGCGGUUCUGACGUGCAAAUCGAUCGUCAAAUAUGGGCAUGGGGGCGAAAGACUAAUCGAACCUUCUAGUAGCUGGUUUCCGCCGAAGUUUCCCUCAGGAUAGCAGUAUUGAACUCAGUUUUAUGAGGUAAAGCGAAUGAUUAGGGACCCGGGGGCGCUAUAUUGCCUUCAUCCAUUCUCAAACUUUAAAUAUGUAAGAAGCUCUUGUUGCUUAAUUGAACGUGAGCAUUCGAAUGUAUCAAUACUAGUGGGCCAUUUUUGGUAAGCAGAACUGGCGAUGCGGGAUGAACCGAACGCGAGGUUAAGGUGCCAGAGUAGACGCUCAUCAGACACCACAAAAGGUGUUAGUACAUCCAGACAGUUGGACGGUGGCCAUGGAAGUCGGAAUCCGCUAAGGACUGUGUAACAACUCACCAACCGAAUGUACUAGCCCUGAAAAUGGAUGGCGCUCAAGCGUCUCACCCAUACCUCGCCCUCAGGGUAGAAACGAUGCCCUGAGGAGUAGGCGGACGUGGAGGUCAGUGACGAAGCCUAGGGCGUGAGCCCGGGUUGAACGGCCUCUAGUGCAGAUCUUGGUGGUAGUA